This 72-nucleotide transfer RNA is filed under the name Nicotiana sylvestris (wood tobacco). It matches the Rfam family "tRNA". From Rfam's summary of the family: Transfer RNA (tRNA) molecules are approximately 80 nucleotides in length. Their secondary structure includes four short double-helical elements and three loops (D, anti-codon, and T loops). Lineage: Eukaryota; Viridiplantae; Streptophyta; Magnoliopsida; Solanales; Solanaceae. The record is from Rfam by way of RNAcentral.
GUGUCUGUAGCUUAGUGGAUAGAGCGUCUGCUUCCUAAGCUAAGGUCGUGGGAUCGAUCCCUACCUGGCGUG